AUGGACUGAUAUCAGGCAAGACUACCCGCUGAACUUAA
Molecule: ribosomal RNA, 38 nt
Filed under: Pythium insidiosum
Lineage: Eukaryota; Oomycota; Peronosporomycetes; Pythiales; Pythiaceae
Description: partial large subunit ribosomal RNA
Source: RNAcentral